GAUUGACUUAUCACCAUAGGUAAUAAUCAGUUUUAGAGAGAAUAUUCACAUAGCAGCCAAUUCAGAAGGCAAUUCAAAUCAAGUGCACGCAGAGACCACACGUGACGAAUUCUCGCAUCUUGUUCGACGUGUUGGGGAGAGUGCGAACAAGUGUUAUCGCCUGAGGUGUGAACGAUUGAUCUUCGCCGGGCCUAUAAAAGCAAACAGAGCCAUUUUGAAAAAAGCAGUUUCUCAUCGGGAAGUCUAGUUAGUUCUCGAGUCCCACAACUGACGAGGCCGUAAUGAAGGCCAUUAAGGUAGCGCUCCUGUGUGUUCUGCUGGCAACGGCAGUCACUUGCCAAGGAGGAGGUGGCGGAGGCGGAGGAGGUAUUUAUUAAAUUUUUAAUUCGGAAGUUCAAUUUAAUACAGGAGAAUUUUCAAUUUCAGGAGGAGGCGGAGGCGGUGG
Neocloeon triangulifer is the source of this 445-nucleotide long non-coding RNA. RefSeq lists it as uncharacterized. Lineage: Eukaryota; Metazoa; Arthropoda; Insecta; Ephemeroptera; Baetidae. The record is from RefSeq and is a predicted model, not a curated record. The transcript has 3 exons.